Molecule: long non-coding RNA, 1762 nt
Filed under: Equus asinus (donkey)
Lineage: Eukaryota; Metazoa; Chordata; Mammalia; Perissodactyla; Equidae
Description: lncRNA (ENSEASG00005024661.1)
Source: RNAcentral
CAAAAGGGCGCGGGGGAUGAUCCGAGACAACUCCAGCCUAAAACAAGUCCAGCCAAGCUCUCUGUCUGCAGGAAAGAGGAGAGGACUCGGAGCCGGAAUCCGGUCUCUCCACUGCCUGGGGCUCCACGAGAUGAGGAAAGUAAUGCUCAAGAGGUUAAAUACCUUGCCAAGCGUCCCGGCUGGCCAGCCGAGGAAUCAGGAUUCAAGCGAAGGCGUCUGACUACAGCCUUUGCUCCAAAGCAGUAUGCUGCACUAAAACAAACAAACAAACAAACAAAAAACAAAGAAGAAGGGCAUUUCAGGACAAGAAAACAGCACCUUGAAAGGCCCAGAAGCCUGAAUGAACACAGAGCCUGCGAGUUAUAACUCAGAUAAUCAGCUAUUUAUUAUUACCCCCAUUUUACACAGAAGAAAAACAAAGCAGAGAGGGGUCAAAUAACUCUUCUGAAGUCACAGAGCUGGUGGCCUAAGUGGCAAGGAAAACAGGAACCAUUUCCUUCUGGAGAAAAGACCUGUCCAUCCUGUUCUCUUUUCCUUUGGGCGUCUCUUCUCUUCAACCUCCUGUCUCCCAUGUGACUAACUGGUAGGCGCAUUUGGGUUUAGCCUUAAGGAGAAGGAAGGGUCUAAUUGAGCCACUCCUGCCAGAGUUCCUGGCCUCAGAGUUUCACACACAAACCCAGGAACAACAAAAUGUUCCCGCAGCCAGACUGAAAUUUGACCUCACUCUAGCUCAGAUGUGCAAAGUCAACGUUGGAAAUGGAACUGAAAAUCACCAGCUAAAGUAUCUCACUCUUCUGACUUAAGAUGAUUUCAUUCCAGGUCAUAACUCCCUGUUGGAGCUGUUUCUCUCCCUUUGUCUUCUCCUCCUUAAGAUGGUUUCUGUAGGGUGGUGCUUAGGUGACCUCACAGUGGCUCAGAGCCCAUGCUUUUCUCCUCUGGAUCGUCGCCAACCUGUGCUGCCAGGAUGCUAGUCUGGUCUUGCCCUUGAGCUGUCAGUCCUAAAAGUCUGUCCUCCCACCCACCGUGACCGCAGGAACUUUUCUUGCCUCAUAUCUACCUCCUUACCCAGAUGAAAUUUGUAAACACCUUCUGCCCAGAGGCCUACUAGCAGAAUGGCUACGUAACUCGUGAGGAAAACACACAGACACCCACGUACCAUCUUUAUCAGGUUGCUUUGCUUUCCUUUACCAUUGUCUGUCGUCUGAAUAUCACCUUUGGGAACCUCGUGGGGGAAGGAACCUUGAAUUUGGGGUUAUCCCAAAUACUUCAUAAAGUCAAGCUCUCACAAAUAAUUUCUAGUAUUCCUUCUACAUACGGCUUUAUUUUUCAUUAUAUUCUUCUAUACUCUCCCAAUAAACCCCAACAGAGCACUGGAGGAUUUCCUGUUUUGCUUGCAGCUGUAACCCCAGUGUUACAAUAGCACGUGGCACAGGGCAGGCGCCCUAUAAACACUGUGGAAGGAGGGAGUGGCUGCUCACACCUGCGGUGCAUGGAUUUAUCCAGUCCCCCUCGCGGGCAGUCUGAUGUCCCUGAUCUCCGGUCCUUUGCACAGCAGCGCCCGGAAGUUCACGUGCUGCCCACAGCAGUCACCAGCGUGGAGGGGGGAGUCGAAGCACUGAGGUCCCUCGAGAAGAGCAGGACAGAGAAUUAACAGGGGCCAAGAGUAGCCCUAGAACAGCGGUUCCCAAACUUUUAAAUCUCAGAACCCCUUUCCACUUUUAAAAUUUGUUGAGGAUUCUAAGGAGCUCUCUACAAGGGUCAC